RNAcentral lists this ribosomal RNA (468 nucleotides) under uncultured bacterium. RNAcentral describes it as "partial 16S ribosomal RNA". It matches the Rfam family "Bacterial small subunit ribosomal RNA", at positions 28 to 507 of the family's 1533-position model. The record is from RNAcentral.
GACGAACGCUGGCGGCGUGCUUAACACAUGCAAGUCGAACGGAAAGGCCCUGCUUUUGUGGGGUGCUCGAGUGGCGAACGGGUGAGUAACACGUGAGUAACCUGCCCUUGACUUUGGGAUAACUUCAGGAAACUGGGGCUAAUACCGGAUAGGAGCUCCUGCUGCAUGGUGGGGGUUGGAAAGUUUCGGCGGUUGGGGAUGGACUCGCGGCUUAUCAGCUUGUUGGUGGGGUAGUGGCUUACCAAGGCUUUGACGGGUAGCCGGCCUGAGAGGGGGACCGGCCCAAAGGGGGAUGAGGAGCAGCCCAGACUCCUACGGGAGGCAGCAGUGGGGAAUAUUGCACAAUGGGCGGAAGCCUGAUGCAGCAACGCCGCGUGCGGGAUGACGGCCGUCGGGUUGUAAACCGCUUUCGCCUGUGACGAAGCGUGAGUGACGGUAAUGGGUAAAGAAGCACCGGCUAACUACGUG